This 515-nucleotide ribosomal RNA is filed under the name uncultured bacterium. Its description in RNAcentral is "partial 16S ribosomal RNA". It matches the Rfam family "Bacterial small subunit ribosomal RNA", at positions 28 to 523 of the family's 1533-position model. The record is from RNAcentral.
GACGAACGCUGGCGGCGUGCCUAAUACAUGCAAGUCGAGCGAAUGGAUUAAGAGCUUACUCUUAUGAAGUUAGCGGCGGACGGGUGAGUAACACGUGGGUAACCUGCCCAUAAGACUGGGAUAACUCCGGGAAACCGGGGCUAAUACCGGAUAACAUUUUGAACCGCAUGGUUCGAAAUUGAAAGGCGGCUUCGGCUGUCACUUAUGGAUGGACCCGCGUCGCAUUAGCUAGUUGGUGAGGUAACGGCUCACCAAGGCAACGAUGCGUAGCCGACCUGAGAGGGUGAUCGGCCACACUGGGACUGAGACACGGCCCAGACUCCUACGGGAGGCAGCAGUAGGGAAUCUUCCGCAAUGGACGAAAGUCUGACGGGGCAACGCCGCGUGAGUGAUGAAGGCUUUCGGGUCGUAAAACUCUGUUGUUAGGGAAGAACAAGUGCUAGUUGAAUAAGCUGGCACCUUGACGGUACCUAACCAGAAAGCCACGGCUAACUACGUGCCAGCAGCCGCGGUAA